Molecule: ribosomal RNA, 497 nt
Filed under: uncultured bacterium
Lineage: Bacteria
Description: partial 16S ribosomal RNA
Rfam family: Bacterial small subunit ribosomal RNA
Source: RNAcentral
GACGAACGCUGGCGGCGUGCCUAAUACAUGCAAGUUGAGCGCUGAAGGUUGGUACUUGUACCGACUGGAUGAGCAGCGAACGGGUGAGUAACCCGUGGGGAAUCUGCCUUUGAGCGGGGGACAACAUUUGGAAACGAAUGCUAAUACCGCAUAAAAACUUUAAACACAAGUUUUAAGUUUGAAAGAUGCAAUUGCAUCACUCAAAGAUGAUCCCGCGUUGUAUUAGCUAGUUGGUGAGGUAAAGGCCCACCAAGGCGAUGCUACAUAGCCGACCUGACAGAGUGACCACCCACAUUGCGACUGCGACACAGCUUCACCUCCUACGAGCGGCCGCAGUCGGGCAUCUUCCGCCAUCGAUGAGAGUCUUACCGAGCCACGCCGUGUGAGUGCAGAAGCUUCUCAGCUCGUAAGUCUCUGUUGGCCGCGAAGAGCGUUGGUUGCAGUCAAAAGCUCAUCCAGUGGCGGUCCCUACCCAGAAAUGCACGGCUACAUCCGUG